UGGGGAAUAUUGGACAAUGGGCGCAAGCCUGAUCCAGCCAUGCCGCGUGAGUGAUGAAGGCCCUAGGGUUGUAAAGCUCUUUCACCGGUGAAGAUAAUGACGGUAACCGGAGAAGAAGCCCCGGCUAACUUCGUGCCAGCAGCCGCGGUAAUACGAAGGGGGCUAGCGUUGUUCGGAUUUACUGGGCGUAAAGCGCACGUAGGCUGACUUUUAAGUCGGGGGUGAAAUCCCGGGGCUCAACCCCGGAACUGCCUUUGAUACUGGAAGUCUUGAGUAUGGUAGAGGUGAGUGGAAUUCCGAGUGUAGAGGUGAAAUUCGUAGAUAUUCGGAGGAACACCAGUGGCGAAGGCGGCUCACUGGACCAUUACUGACGCUGAGGUGCGAAAGCGUGGGGAGCAAACAGG
RNAcentral lists this ribosomal RNA (404 nucleotides) under Actinomycetes bacterium. RNAcentral describes it as "Actinobacteria bacterium partial 16S ribosomal RNA". It matches the Rfam family "Bacterial small subunit ribosomal RNA", at positions 355 to 776 of the family's 1533-position model. Lineage: Bacteria; Bacillati; Actinomycetota; Actinomycetes. The record is from RNAcentral.